GACGAACGCUGGCGGCGUGCUUAACACAUGCAAGUCGAACGGAAAGGCCCUGCUUUUGUGGGGUGCUCGAGUGGCGAACGGGUGAGUAACACGUGAGUAACCUGCCCUUGACUUUGGGAUAACUUCCGGAAACUGGGGCUAAUACCGGCUAGGAGCUCCUGCUGCAUGGUGGGGGUUGGAAAGUUUCGGCGGUUGGGGAUGGACGCGCGGCUUAUCAGCUUGUUGGUGGGGUAGUGGCUUACCAAGGCUUUGACGGGUAGCCGGCCUGAGAGGGUGACCGGCCACAUUGGGACUGAGAUACGGCCCAGACUCCUACGGGAGGCAGCAGUGGGAGAUAUUCCACAAUGGGCGGAAGCCUGAUGCAGCAACGCCGCGUGCGGGAUGACGGCCUUCGGGUUGUAAACCGCUUUCGCCUGUGACGAAGCGUGAGUGACGGUAAUGGGUAAAGAAGCACCGGCUAACUACGUG
Molecule: ribosomal RNA, 468 nt
Filed under: uncultured bacterium
Lineage: Bacteria
Description: partial 16S ribosomal RNA
Rfam family: Bacterial small subunit ribosomal RNA
Source: RNAcentral